AUGCAGUCGACGCUGAGCCUAAAGCUUGCUUUGGGUGGAUGAGUGGCGAACGGGUGAGUAACACGUGAGUAACCUGCCCCUGAUUUCGGGAUAAGCCUGGGAAACUGGGUCUAAUACCGGAUAUGACCUUCUCUCGCAUGAGGGUUGGUGGAAAGUUUUUCGAUUGGGGAUGGGCUCGCGGCCUAUCAGCUUGUUGGUGGGGUAAUGGCCUACCAAGGCGACGACGGGUAGCCGGCCUGAGAGGGCGACCGGCCACACUGGGACUGAGACACGGCCCAGACUCCUACGGGAGGCAGCAGUGGGGAAUAUUGCACAAUGGGGGAAACCCUGAUGCAGCGACGCAGCGUGCGGGAUGACGGCCUUCGGGUUGUAAACCGCUUUCAGCAGGGAAGAAGCGAAAGUGACGGUACCUGCAGAAGAAGUACCGGCUAACUACGUGCCAGCAGCCGCGGUAAUACGUAGGGUACGAGCGUUGUCCGGAAUUAUUGGGCGUAAAGAGCUCGUAGGUGGUUGGUCACGUCUGCUGUGGAAACGCAACGCUUAACGUUGCGCGUGCAGUGGGUACGGGCUGACUAGAGUGCAGUAGGGGAGUCUGGAAUUCCUGGUGUAGCGGUGAAAUGCGCAGAUAUCAGGAGGAACACCGGUGGCGAAGGCGGGACUCUGGGCUGUAACUGACACUGAGGAGCGA
Molecule: ribosomal RNA, 688 nt
Filed under: Brevibacterium sediminis
Lineage: Bacteria; Bacillati; Actinomycetota; Actinomycetes; Micrococcales; Brevibacteriaceae
Description: bacterial SSU rRNA
Rfam family: Bacterial small subunit ribosomal RNA
Source: RNAcentral